This 460-nucleotide ribosomal RNA is filed under the name Coolia tropicalis. RNAcentral's name for it is "LSU rRNA". It matches the Rfam family "Eukaryotic large subunit ribosomal RNA", at positions 140 to 572 of the family's 3401-position model. The record is from RNAcentral. Lineage: Eukaryota; Dinophyceae; Peridiniales; Ostreopsidaceae.
GUAUUGUAAUUUCAUGAUGCAGCCUUAAUGGAACUGCAUGAACAGAUAUUCUUGAAACGGCAUGUCAAAGAUGGUGAAAGCCCAAUGGCUUCAUGUGCUUUCUGUGCACGGUCUGCAUUUGGUGAUUCACAUUCCUUGGCAAUGGAAUGCAAACAGGUGGUAAAUUCCAUCCAAUAUAACAAUACAACAUUGAGGCUGAUAACAAACAAGUACCAUGAGGGAAAUAUGAAAAGGACUUUGGAAAGAGAAUUAAAAGAGUUUGCAUUUGCUUGGCAUAAAACAAAUUAAUGUUGUCAUGGCCAAAAGAUUGUUGCAUUUCUGGGUGUGUGCCAACAUUGCUCAGCAAGUGUAAUGCUUCUUUCCCCCCACAAAGCUGUUGCAUUCAUGGAUCAUUCUUGUUUGGUGCUGGCAAUAUGUGUUGCAUAGUGGUGCUCUGUUUGCAUUUCUGAUUUCUGAUGUU